GGAUCAUUGGUUUAGAGGUUAUAACGCUUGCUUCACACGCAAGAGGUCGCCAGUUCGAUCCUGGCAUGAUUCA
Molecule: non-coding RNA, 73 nt
Organism: Pilobolus umbonatus
Lineage: Eukaryota; Fungi; Mucoromycota; Mucoromycetes; Mucorales; Pilobolaceae
Source: the annotation of a GenBank genome assembly